Long non-coding RNA from Penaeus monodon (black tiger shrimp), 168 nucleotides. RefSeq lists it as uncharacterized. The transcript has 3 exons. NCBI's taxonomy places the organism in Eukaryota, Metazoa, Arthropoda, Malacostraca, Decapoda, Penaeidae. The record is from RefSeq and is a predicted model, not a curated record.
UCACAGUGGCGGCCUACGUGGACUACAGCUCCCCUUGCCCUGCGAGGCUGGAUCGGAGAGGAUCAAGAGGAGAGAUACUUUGAUCAAGCGUAUCAAGGUGGAGGCGGAAGGUUACCUGAGAGAGAAGACUUGGACCAAAUACAUCUGCGCGAACGAGUCGACCAAGGG